RNAcentral lists this ribosomal RNA (478 nucleotides) under uncultured bacterium. RNAcentral describes it as "partial 16S ribosomal RNA". It matches the Rfam family "Bacterial small subunit ribosomal RNA", at positions 28 to 523 of the family's 1533-position model. The record is from RNAcentral.
GACGAACGCUGGCGGCGUGCUUAACACAUGCAAGUCGAACGGUAAGGCCCUUCGGGGUACACGAGUGGCGAACGGGUGAGUAACACGUGGGUGAUCUGCCCUGCACUUCGGGAUAAGCCUGGGAAACUGGGUCUAAUACCGGAUAGGACCACUGCCUGCAUGGGUGGUGGUGGAAAGCUUUUGCGGUGUGGGAUGGGCCCGCGGCCUAUCAGCUUGUUGGUGGGGUGAUGGCCUACCAAGGCGACGACGGGUAGCCGGCCUGAGAGGGUGACCGGCCACACUGGGACUGAGAUACGGCCCAGACUCCUACGGGGGGCAGCAGUGGGGAAUAUUGCACAAUGGGCGCAUGCCUGAUGCAGCGACGCCGCGUGAGGGAUGACGGCCUUCGGGUUGUAAACCUCUUUCAGCACCGACGAAGCGCAAGUGACGGUAGGUGCAGAAGAAGGACCGGCCAACUACGUGCCAGCAGCCGCCGUAA